GUACAGCACAAUUUCUACUGCUUUUUGUAUGACCUAGAAGUAACCCUUCAGUACCUUUCAGGUACACAAUGGAUACAGGAUAAAUCUCAUGAUCCCAACCAUUCCACACCGUGACCUCAAAGAUGAAAUUUAGUCAGCAAUAGCUGAAGCAAACUUCUCUUGACCUCAAGAAUGCACUCCUGAGUAGAAAAUUAAAGGUUGCUUAAAUCUU
Cyanistes caeruleus (blue tit) is the source of this 211-nucleotide long non-coding RNA. RefSeq lists it as uncharacterized. The record is from RefSeq and is a predicted model, not a curated record. Lineage: Eukaryota; Metazoa; Chordata; Aves; Passeriformes; Paridae.